CAAAAUCAAUUGUUUUGGUAAAACUGGAACGAUACAGAGAAAUUAGCAUGACCCCUGCGCAAGGAUAACACCAAUUCGUGAUGCAUUCCGUAGUUUU
This 97-nucleotide small nuclear RNA is filed under the name Rhinolophus ferrumequinum (greater horseshoe bat). The record is from RNAcentral. Lineage: Eukaryota; Metazoa; Chordata; Mammalia; Chiroptera; Rhinolophidae.